GAUGAACGCUAGCGGCGUGCCUAAUACAUGCAAGUCGAGCGAACAGACGAGGAGCUUGCUCCUCUGACGUUAGCGGCGGACGGGUGAGUAACACGUGGAUAACCUACCUAUAAGACUGGGAUAACUUCGGGAAACCGGAGCUAAUACCGGAUAAUAUACUGAACCGCAUGGUUCAAUAGUGAAAGACGGUUUUGCUGUCACUUAUAGAUGGAUCCGCGCCGCAUUAGCUAGUUGGUAAGGUAACGGCUUACCAAGGCGACGAUGCGUAGCCGACCUGAGAGGGUGAUCGGCCACACUGGAACUGAGACACGGUCCAGACUCCUACGGGAGGCAGCAGUAGGGAAUCUUCCGCAAUGGGCGAAAGCCUGACGGAGCAACGCCGCGUGAGUGAUGAAGGUCUUCGGAUCGUAAAACUCUGUUAUUAGGGAAGAACAAAUGUGUAAGUAACUAUGCACGUCUUGACGGUACCUAAUCAGAAAGCCACGGCUAACUACGUG
This 497-nucleotide ribosomal RNA is filed under the name uncultured bacterium. Its description in RNAcentral is "partial 16S ribosomal RNA". It matches the Rfam family "Bacterial small subunit ribosomal RNA", at positions 28 to 507 of the family's 1533-position model. The record is from RNAcentral.